RNAcentral lists this ribosomal RNA (729 nucleotides) under uncultured eukaryote. RNAcentral describes it as "SSU rRNA". It matches the Rfam family "Eukaryotic small subunit ribosomal RNA", at positions 674 to 1426 of the family's 1831-position model. The record is from RNAcentral.
GGUGCGUACUAGGUUCUUCGGCUUUUCGUCGGUUUUCUUGUUGUGGCCUUUAUUGGUGGCGGCAAGUGGCUGACAAUUUUACUUUGAACAAAUCAGAGUGCUCAAAACAGGCGUUUCGCUUGUAUGUUUUUGCAUGGAAUAAUAGAAUAUGACUUCGGUCUAGUUUUAUUGGUUUUAUUGAUCGUUGUAAUGAUUAAAAGAGACAAACGGGGGCAUUCGUAUUGUUGCGUGAGAGGUGAAAUUCUUGGACCGCAGCAAGACGACCUACAGCGAAAGCAUUUGCCAAGCUUGUCUUCAUUAAUCAAGAACGAAAGUCAGAGGAUCGAAGGUGAUCAGAUACCGCCCUAGUUCUGACCGUAAACGAUGCCAACUAGCGAUUCGCCGGUGGAAUAUUUGCCCUGGCGAGGAGCUUCCCGGAAACGAAAGUCUUCCGGUUCCGGGGGAAGUAUGGUUGCAAAGCUGAAACUUAAAGGAAUUGACGGAAGGGCACCCCCAGGAGUGGAGCCCGCGGCUUAAUUUGACUCAACACGGGAAAACUCACCCGGCCCGGACACUAUAAGGAUUGACAGAUUGAUAGCUCUUUCAUGAUUUGGUGGAUGGUGGUGCACGGCCGUUCUUAGUUCGUGGAGUGAUUUGUCUGGUUUAUUCCGAUAACGAGCGAGACUCUAGCCUCCUAAAUAGUUCGCUCAUUGUUUAUUGUGUAGCGGUACUUCCUAGAGGAAUGUUCGG